RNAcentral lists this long non-coding RNA (7673 nucleotides) under Sus scrofa (pig). RNAcentral describes it as "lncRNA (ENSSSCG00065037746.1)". Lineage: Eukaryota; Metazoa; Chordata; Mammalia; Artiodactyla; Suidae. The record is from RNAcentral.
UUUUUUUUUUUGCAAAUCCUAUUUGGUUCAAACUCACAGUAAAAUACUGAAUUAUUAAACUAAACAUUGUUCCCCUGUACACCACUUCCAAUCUUCCAGCAUGGAAUAAUGGACGGGACCAGGUACCCCCUACCCACCCCUCUUGUAAUAGGGAAGAACAACUUUGACUCUAUAUUGAAUCUGUUCUUUUUAUUUUGACCUUACUUUAAUUCUUGUCCUCUGUCACUUGUGCUAAGUCGUCCUGGCUCCGCUCCUUUUGCAAAAAUAUGCCGCCUACAGGAUGCUCCCUAUAGCCUGAAAUACACAGCCUCUUCUUAGGGCCAUGACCUUUAAGAGUAUUACAUUUUUAGACAAAAACUUGCAGAACAGAGAAUAACAUCUGUUUUGUUGGAGCUUUACAGGAACACACCAAGAAAUCUGCGACAACUAACAAUGCCCCUCCCUCAUCCUGCCUUUAAAAGGGCUUUGAUGAAAGCCUUCAGGGAGUUCAGGGCUUUUGGAGGCACAAGUCAUCCAUCUCCUUGCAUGGCCCUGCAAUCAACCUUGCUCUGCUCCAAAUUCUGAUCUAUCAGUAUUGUUUGGCCUCAGUGUGCGUCGCGCAUAUGGAUUUGCGUUGGGUAACAGUCUUAAGAAAUCCCAGAUUAAUAACAUUUUCAAGCUGAAAAGGUCAUUAGAGAUCUCCAAACCGAAACAAUUCAUAAACAGAAGAAAACUGCGGUUCAAGAGGAUUCUCUUUCUCAAAUGAUGAAGUUAGUGAGUCGCAGAUACUGGACAAACAUCUGGGAGCCCCAGGGCCCAUUUUGGUCUUUUUGCUCUGACCACUAGGACAAACAUGUGAAAGAGAGAAAAGCUUUCAAACAUUCGAAACAUUUUUGCAAACAUUUUCAAGAUGCUUUAAAAUAUACCCUUUUAUUUAAAAGACUGGAAGAGGAAAUUCCAGUUGUGGCGCAGUGGAAAUGCAUCCGACUAGUAUCCCCAAGGAUGAGGGUUUUGAUCCCUGGCCUUGCUCAGUGGGUUAGGAAUCUGGCGUUGCCGUGAGCUGUGGUGUAGGUCGAAGAUGUGGCUCGGAUCUCACAUUGCUGUGGCUGUGGCUGUGGCCAGCAGCUACAGCUCUGAUUCAACCCCUAGCCUGGGAACUUCCAUAUGCCUCGGGGUGUAGUCCUAAAAAAAUAAAUAAAUAAAAAUAAAAAUAAAAGACUGGAGGAAAAGAAACAACUUCUGGUGGGAUAAUGGAUAUUUUCCCCUCUUUCUAGUAUCUUAAUCACAAAUCAUCGGUCCCAGUACUUUUAACAAUGGCGAAAAAAAAAAAAGGUUAAUCUCAUGCUUGAUUGAGUCGCAGGUGCCUAGAUAUUUGGUCAAGCAUUAUUCCAGGUGUGUCUAUGAGGAUGUUUUGAUAAAGUGGACAUUUGAGUUCACAGACUGAGUAAAGCCAAUUUUCCUCCCUAAUGUAAGUAAUCAGUUGCAUCAACCAGUCGGGUGAAGGCCUGAAUAGAACAGUAAAGCCCACCCUCUCAGGAGUUAAGAGGGCACCUUUUCCAACCAACCACCCUGAAUUGCACUCUCAGUCUUUUCCUGCCUUUAGACUCAAACUGAAAUCCUGACUCUUCUUGGUGUUGAGCUUACCAGUUUUUGGAUUGGAACUAUAUCAUCAGCUUUUUUGACUCUCCAGUUUGCCAAAUGCAAAUAUUUGGGGGCUUCUCAGACUCNAAGAAAGAAUUUUAGGUAUUUAUACACACACACACAUAUGUAUAUGUAUACAUACACGCAACCAACCUAUUGAUUCUGCUUCUCUGGAGAGCUUAAUACACCCUCCUUGGUGUAGGUGGGUCACAUCCAAUCAGUUGAACGCCCUAAGGGCAAAGACUCAGGCUUCUCAAAGAAAAAAAUUCUGCCUCAAACCUGCAAAUGAUAAACCCUGCAUAAGUUUCCAGCCUGCCUCAAAACUGCACAGUUUGAACUUGCCAGGCCCCACAAUCACAGGUCAUUUCCUUACCCAGGCAAUCUCUAAAUGUUUAAGUAGGUAGGUAGGCAGGUACCAAAGUAAGUAGACAGGUGCCUGGGUGUAUAGAUCUAUGUCAUUUUAUUGGUUUUCUCCAGAGAACUCUGACUAAUGUACCAUUUUUUUGCUAUGUUUGUGCAUUUUCAACAGGGUGAGUCAUACCUAAAGUGACCAAUCAGGGAUUUGGUGGAGGGGGGAAGAAUCACUAAUUUGCUAAGUACAAAAGAGCUGACAUUCAUCUGUUUAACACAGCAAAUGUAAGAGUAAAACAAAACAAGCACACCAAGUACACAAAUCAAUUAAUGAUAAACUCAUUUCAAUGACAACUUUCUCAGGACAUACUGAAGAAUUCCUUUCCUGAUGUUGUUUAUCUUUACACUUGCGUUCGAGUCUUAGUUUUGUUUAAAUUGCUAAUGAGACGACUAGGACAUUCCUACCCAAGUUUCACAGUUUGCUUACAGUAUUUUUCUGAGUGGGUGCCAGAAAAAAAUACACUAAAUUCCUCAAAACAUUUCCCUAAAAUAACAGUGUUCUUCCUUUUCAUUCCCCCGCCCCACUCCCAAAUGAAGCCAGCCGGACUUCCUCCAGUGCAUUACUCUGUACUAGAGACGUAACAACAACAACCUUGUCUUCCUUCCCACUGACACAGGGACAGUAGAUAUAAAGCCUUUUCUCAAUGAAUCACACAACUAAAUGAAUUAGACAGCCUGUGUUGACAACCAAUAUUCAAAAAUAUUAAUAUCAUACAAUUUAAAUAAGAGAUCUAUUCUCCACAGGAGCAUGUUGUGCAUUUCCCUAUUUCUACUAAAUAACACAUCCAGUGAGGUGGAGCCCCGUUAUGUGUUUAUCAUUAUGUUUACCUGAACAGAGAAAGAAACCACAAGAAAAUGUUUGCUAUACUGUAAUUAGUGUGAUCACAACCAAGGCAGCCUGUUCUCACUGCAACAUGAAACUGCGCAGUGACCAUGACUGCUUCCUCGAGCGCUGUGUCAAUUCACUACAUAGUAAAGUGAUUUUUUAAGCGCUUUUACGGGUGCAAUUACCUUUUAUUUAUUUAUUUUUUUAGGACAUAUACUGAAGAAUUCCUUUCCUGAUGUUUCUGUAGCUGUGGCAUAUGGAAGCUCCCAGGCUAGGGGUCGAAUCAGAGCUGCAGCUGCUAGCCUACACCACAGCCACAGCAACACUGGAUCCAAGCUACAGCUUGCGGGAAGGCCGGAUCCUUAACUCACUGAGUGAGGCCAGGGAUUGAACCUGCAACCUCACGGACACUAUGUCAGGCUCCUAACCUGUUGAGCCACAACAGGAACUCCACCAAUUCUUGAUACUUGGUGAUUUCCAGUGAGUACCCCAUCAUUAGUUAUGUUCUACUACACUGGCUUUGAAAAAAGAAUGAAAUCACAUUCUGAGAAUGGGGAAGUAGAAAAUGUCAGAGUAGAAUAAUUAUGGAUAGAACUCUGAGCCAAAGGUGUGGAAUUUAGAUUUGGGGUUCUCCCUCUUGUGGCUCAUUGGUAUUAUCUUUAAAACGGGGGGAAUAGAAAUCUACCUACCCAUCACCUUAUGGGGAAACGGUAAAGAUUUAAAAGGAAAACAAUUAUAUUUAGAGUAUGAUUUUUUUUUUAUAUAUUCUCAAAGAUCCAACACUCAUCCCUUUAUAUUCCAGAGCUGAAAAUGUCACUCCCACACGCCCAAGCAUCAUCUUCGAGAAUUGCUUUUAACAGCAACAACAAAAAAAUUCAGUCAGAAGAACUUUUGUAAAACGUGUUCCCCUUCCUUGCUCCUUCCAGUAUGUACACAUAUCACUUACCAAUUGGCAAUGAUUUACGUACCCAUGAAUACUAUGGUUUUUACAUUUUAACUUAACAUUAACGUCAUUAUGCUACAUAUGUUAUUCUACAAUUUGACACUCACCUUUAUGAGACCUACCCAUUUUAAGUCAGAUAAUUCUAGUCCAGUCGUUUUAACUAACAUUUAGUAUUCCUUAUAUGAACACAAUCCAUUUAUCUGGUCUUCUACUUCUGGGCAUUUGGGGUUUUUUUGUAUUAUAAACAAUCCUAUACUUAACAUUUAUGUAAAUAUCUUCUUUCACAACCCAGAGUUUCUAUGCAAGGAUGUAAAUGCACGUAUAACUUUCAUUCUGUCACCUGUAGCUUACUGGCUCAUAUAUACAAACAGAAAGUAUUUCUUUUUAGUCCAAGGUUCUGACUUUGUCUAUGACAUCAAGAUUCUUUACUGACUUGUUUUGUAUUUUCUAUGUCCUUUCUAAUACUGGUCCACCUAGGGUCUCAAUUACCAAGAAAAGGAAGUUGAAGCUUUUUUUCUGUGAUUGUGAAUUUGCCCAUUUCUCUAUUUGAUUUACUUAUAGAUCCCGAGACCAUUUUAUUAGGUGCAUGCAGCUUUAGAACUGUUCCAUAUUACUGGUGGAUUACUCCUUCUGCAAUUAUUUAGGGACAAAGAUGACUGCAAGACCACCUACAAUCUUUCGGGGAUUUCUAUGAACGGUCUGUCUCAUGUGGGCGAUUAGCAAUUAUAAUAAAGCUGAGCUAAGACUCAAGGAAGAAGUUGAUCAGGUUUGAGAGUGAAGUCCUAGUGAGCUCAUGCUGCGCACUAUCCAACCAGAUGUGUCAGGCAUAGAGGUGAAAUUCCAAUUGACACCUGCCUCGUUAUGAUUUAGUUGGGUCCCAAGUCAGGAGAAAGAGAGUUAUUUAUUGAUUCCCUAAUAUCUCAAAAAGACUCCCUCCAGAGCAGAUUUGGGGUCUUGGACUUUUCCCAAGGCUAUUACGAACACAAAACUAAUUUGGGAGUUAAUUUCUCAGCCUGCAGCUCCUGGAACACAUGGGAAUUACAAAUAUAAAUUUCAAAUUCACAGGAAAUCAGGUACUUAAGUCCAAGUUUUUCUAGGAUGACUUUUCUUUUCCUACCCAGGACCCAGAGAAAGACAGAUCCAUUUCCUUCUGCUUUCCUGUAUGAGGGCAAAGACUCUUUAGAACACCCUGGCUCAGAGAAUACAGCCUUUUCAGAGUUCUUAUCUUAUGGAGGGGGAGCAGUUCCAACUCUCUCACUUCUAACUCCACAUGAGCUUUAUAACCCAAGUGUUGACCUUCUACCAAGGGCAUCACAGAGCGCUUCCCGAUUGUCACCUCCUAGUUUUCAGUCCCCUUCCUGUUUCGAGUAUUUGGUGGCUUCCUUUACCUUCCCUUAGAACCUCUGCCAGGCAUUUACUAGGAAUUUUGUUGUAUUUCACCUAGAAAUUCUUGAUAUGGGGCGGUGGGGGGGGGGGGGCUUUCAGUUUAUCUGCUAUGUGCAGUUCUGCCAGAACUAGACAUGGUCACACAGGAGAGGCACUUGAAGCAGCACCUGGCACAUGGUGUAACUGUUGUACACUUGUUUGCUGUAACUAAAAACACUCUCUCCUCCCACUUACUUUGCAUAGAAGCAACACACAUGGCAUCACUGGUGUUUUAUACUCCCUGAAUGAAUAUACAAAACCAUUCCUUUUAAUAGUAAACCAAUUUCUGUAAAGUAAAUCUAAUAGGUUUUUUUAAAAUUCCAUUUUCCAUUAGGGGCUCUUUGUUACCAGAGUUCCAAUAAAUUUUUAUUUUAAAGCACAAACUGAAUAAAACCUCAAAAAGCAAUAAUAUGCACUAAUACCAUGUCAUCCACAGUGAAUUGAGGUAGAUACAAUUCAGAAAGUUAGUGGUUUUUAUGAAUCAUCCUACAUAUCGAAAGUGAAAUAGGGGCAAACAUAAUUCAAGCCAGGGAAGCAUCUCAUCUGUUCAGGGACUCACCUGUGGACUCACACAAUCAUUUAUUUUGUUAAAAUUUGUGACAUUUUCUAUGAUCAAGUUUUUCAUCCAUAGUUGCUUAACAUAACUUUCUCUUUCUAUUCACGCCUUCCUCAUGUUGGGCAGUGUCAGAAAAUCCAGACAUUUUGGAAAUUCAGCCCAGAGAACUUGAGGCAGAUCCAAGUUAAGUUUGGGUUUAGUAAGAGGUAUUUAUAAAGUCUGCAUGGCAUUACAUGGUUAGCUUCCAUGCCUAGUUAAGUUAUUACUAGUCACCUCAGUACAUAAUGACCUCUCAAAACACCUCUACCACCCUCUCACCUGCAUGGACUCAGAGUUGACUGACACCAGAAGUACACGCAUAGCAGAGGAAGCAUGUUUUGAAAUGUAAUGAAGAAAGGCACUAGUCUUUGGAAAAUUAUUCUGAUAGUUACACAUGGAAAACUGAAAGCUGAAAAUCUAUUUCUCAUGGACACUAGGUCAAAAGAACCCUAUUUAAGAGACUUGACAAUAUGACAUAUUAUAAACAGAACUUAUUUUUUUUGCCUUUGUAGCAAAUCUUAGGAAACAGGAUUUAUUAUGAUUUUGGUCUUAGGGCUCAUGCAUAUAUCCCUACUACAACCGGUAAGUAGGUUUGUAGGAGAGGUCAUAUGAUACCAAGGCAGAAUCACAAAUACCAACACAUUGUGGUCAAACAUCCCAGAGGAAAGGUUUAAUUAUCUUUCUAUUCUUCCUAUAGAAAAUAUUAUGAAAUCAAUGUUUUAGGGAAAGGCAGCCAAUGAGCAAGCAGUCAAAAUAUGAACAGAAAAAAAGUACUAUAUAAUCAGCUAUAAAAUUUUUUUCUGGAUUAUGUGAUGUUUGUGAUAUUUAUCAGCUCUUUCAGAUGUGCAGUUUUUGUGUUUUAUUGUUCUAAAAUGGUUAAUACCAAUAUUAAUUUUUGCAGUUAAAAUUGUGUAGCAAAAGUUCCAAAACUACAUAUGCUUCAGAUCCCACAAAAGCCAACCCAGAGAUAAAAACAGAAAUGGAAGCAACUAGACUAAAAGUGAAAUUUCUUUCACUUUUUGAUGAAACAAUGAGAUUUAAGGCCCAAUUUUAAGAAAACUUAAACUUUUGAUAAUGCAUAGCAAAUAAGUCUUUUUAUUCAUGUAUCUGGUAAGAAUGACUUUUUAAGAAAAGCAACUUUUUAUGUUUUAAGUUAUAUCUGCAUUGUUCCUCUGCAGGAUUUAAAAUAGGAAUUAAAACCAUUUAUAAAUAUCUCAAACUUUAACUCUAGGGUUAUAAUCAUUGUCUUAAAGCUGCCUUCUUUAAUAAAAGAAGCCAAAUGUUAAAUUACAACUCCCAACUUGAAGUAAAAGAAAUUAGUGUAUUAAAGUUUAUGGUUCAUGGGGCUCUCUGAUUAAUAAAUUUUGUUCAGAAGGCUAUAAAAUAUUAAAAAAAAUCCUACCCAGUCUAUAUAGAAAUUGAUACUCAGUAAUGGAGUAUAAAAGGUAAUUUAGAAAUGUAAUCUUAGACAAGUAAUGCAGCAUUUCUAAAAAGGAACACCAUCCUUAAAAAUUAGCAGAAGGCACAAAUGAACCUUUCCACAGAAAAGAAAAUCAUGGACUUGGAGAAUAGAUUUGUGGUUGCCAAGGGGGAGGGAGAGGGAGUGGGGUGGUUGGGGAGCUUGGGGUUAACAGAUACAAACUAUGGCCUUUGGAAUGGAUUGGCAAUGAGAUCCUGCUGUGUGGUACUGGGAACUAUGUCUAGUCACUUAUGAUGGAGCAUGAUAAUGAGCAAAAAUAGAAUGUGUACAUGUAUGUGUAACUGGGUCACCAUGCUGUACAGUAGAAAAAGAAAUUGUAUUGGGGAAAUAACAAAAAAAAAAGUGUAAAAGGCAAAAAAAAAAAAAAAAAAAA